RNAcentral lists this ribosomal RNA (466 nucleotides) under Vreelandella stevensii. RNAcentral's name for it is "partial 16S ribosomal RNA". It matches the Rfam family "Bacterial small subunit ribosomal RNA", at positions 338 to 795 of the family's 1533-position model. The record is from RNAcentral. Lineage: Bacteria; Pseudomonadati; Pseudomonadota; Gammaproteobacteria; Oceanospirillales; Halomonadaceae.
CCUACGGGGGGCAGCAGUGGUGAAUAUUGGACAAUGGGGGCAACCCUGAUCCAGCCAUGCCGCGUGUGUGAAGAAGGCCCUCGGGUUGUAAAGCACUUUCAGUGAGGAAGAACGCCUGGUGGUUAAUACCCAUCAGGAAAGACAUCACUCACAGAAGAAGCACCGGCUAACUCCGUGCCAGCAGCCGCGGUAAUACAGGAGGGUGCGAGCGUUAAUCGGAAUUACUGGGCGUAAAGCGCGCGUAGGUGGCUUGAUAAGCCGGUUGUGAAAGCCCCGGGCUCAACCUGGGAACGGCAUCCGGAACUGUCAAGCUAGAGUGCAGGAGAGGAAGGUAGAAUUCCCGGUGUAGCGGUGAAAUGCGUAGAGAUCGGGAGGAAUACCAGUGGCGAAGGCGGCCUUCUGGACUGACACUGACACUGAGGUGCGAAAGCGUGGGUAGCAAACAGGAUUAGAUACCCUGGUAGUC